This is a long non-coding RNA of Dama dama (fallow deer), 367 nucleotides long. RefSeq lists it as uncharacterized. Lineage: Eukaryota; Metazoa; Chordata; Mammalia; Artiodactyla; Cervidae. The record is from RefSeq and is a predicted model, not a curated record. The transcript is spliced from 3 exons.
GCAAGCCAAGUGCCUAACUGGGAAGCAGCACAGAGCCCAGACAGUGACACCGGAGUGGGCCUCACCUGGCGGCCCCAGAGCUUGCGGAAGAUCUGGAAAUAGGCCAUGGCCAUGAGGCCCAGCGGUGCCAGACCGUGGCCCGCCAGGCUCCUCUGUCCAUGGGAUUCUCCAUGGCAAGAGUACUCCAGAGAAUGCUGUGCCCUCCUACAGGGGAUCUUCCCAGCCCAGGGAUCGAACCCAGAUCUCCCUCAUUACAGGCAGAUUCUUCGCCAUCUGAACCACAAGGGAAGCCUUACUGCCAGGGUAGAUUUGAUCAAAUCACUUACCCUCUCUGAGCCUCAUCUGCAGAAUGAGAAUAUAUCAUCCU